GACAAUUGUCACAGAACCAUCCUGAAGUUCAUUAAUGAAACAGAAGCUUCUUCAGACAGUCAGCAAAAUUCCCAGCAUUUAAUGGCACCACUACUGAGCUCUCUGGAUCUUGAGAUGUGGCAUGUGUCUGGAAGCCCCAUAAACUAGGCCGCGGCUCUGUUGUGGAAACAACGUCCGUCAGUCUAAAUGCGAGGUACCUCUUGUCUCUGGCCCCAGACCAUGGCUGCCCCAGAGUUGUGGAUGGUGGUCAGUUCCGGCUGGGGGUUCUUGGGGAAGAGAAGAGGCUGCUGGCACCGCCUCAACGGGGCCGAGGGCUCCCCGCACAGGGUCCCUGCGGCUGCCCCAGCUGGGAAGGGAAGAGACAGAUGGACAGCGCAAGCACCUUAAUAAAAGACUGACAAGAAAUUGCAAUAAGUACUAAUA
Molecule: long non-coding RNA, 423 nt
Organism: Scophthalmus maximus (turbot)
Lineage: Eukaryota; Metazoa; Chordata; Actinopteri; Pleuronectiformes; Scophthalmidae
Exons: 2
Source: RefSeq, a predicted model, not a curated record